CCUACGGGAGGCAGCAGUGGGGAAUAUUGGGCAAUGGAGGCAACUCUGACCCAGCAACGCCGCGUGAAGGAAGAAGGCCUUAGGGUUGUAAACUUAUGUUGUAAAGGAAGAAAAGAAUGACGGUACUUUACAAGAAAGCCCCGGCUAACUAUGUGCCAGCAGCCGCGGUAAGACAUAGGGGGCAAGCGUUGUUCGGAAUUACUGGGCGUAAAGGGAGCGUAGGCGGGAGAUUAAGUUAAGAGUGAAAGCCUUGGGCUCAACCCAAGAAAUGCUCUUAAUACUGGUUUUCUAGAGUGUGGGAGAGGUAAGUGGAAUUCCUAGUGUAGCGGUAGAAUGCGUAGAGAUUAGGAGGAACAUCAGAGGCGAAGGCGGCUUACUGGACCAUAACUGACGCUGAGGCUCGAAAGCGUGGGGAGCAAACAGGAUUAGAUACCCCAGUAGUC
Molecule: ribosomal RNA, 443 nt
Filed under: uncultured bacterium
Lineage: Bacteria
Description: partial 16S ribosomal RNA
Rfam family: Bacterial small subunit ribosomal RNA
Source: RNAcentral